Molecule: long non-coding RNA, 932 nt
Organism: Dioscorea cayenensis subsp. rotundata (Guinea yam)
Lineage: Eukaryota; Viridiplantae; Streptophyta; Magnoliopsida; Dioscoreales; Dioscoreaceae
Exons: 5
Source: RefSeq, a predicted model, not a curated record
CUUGCAAUGUCAUUUUCUUUCAACACUGUCUCAUCACUAGCAAAGGGCCGAGAAAUGGCAAACAGUAUUGUUCACGGAGACACAAAUAUCCACUUUUUUCACCUUGGACUUGCACUCUGACAUGACCAACUGCAGAGCCUUGUUGAGGAUCUCGGCGGCCAUUCUGGUACUUGGUGACAACAUCAAGAGAGGUGAGAUCCAACUCCUUAUCUAGAGAAGAGAAUUCUAGGGUUUUGUCGUUCUACAAGUAAAGACGGAGAGACAACGGCAGUGACAACGAGCGGCAGCAGGUGAAGGGCGACGAUCGACAUCCGUCAUGAUCGACAGCAUUAUCUCAGCCGCUCAAUCACGCCGGCGGCAUCAACGAUGAACAUGGUGUAAUGUUUGUAAAAUUCUUUUUCUUCAACUUUGACGGGUUGACUGAGCUUUUGGUGAGCGGGCCCCCCAUUGUUUGUCUCUUUGCCCUUAAAAACCGGAUCUUGAUGAGUGAAUUAUUGGCAUGUGGUGUUUUGUUUAGUUUUAAGGGGACCAGCUCAAGCUUGCUUGUUGUUGGCAUCUUCAGGAGGCUGAAUUUCCAGUUUUUUCUUCUCUUGAAGCUUGGAGUUGGAGGGAGAUUCUCUUCACCGGCGGAUCCUCGGAGAGAUUAGAGAUUAUUGUAGCGAGUCUUAGUUCGCGGGACUUGGUGAACCCAACUCUGUAGCUCGGAGCCAGGAGAAGAUCAAGUCUAGGAUGGGGGGGGGUGUCUGGGGAUCGUAUUGUCUGCUUUUAUCAAUAUCUCUAUAUUACCUUCUUAAGAGUGUAAGACUUGUAUUCUGACUGUAUUUGUAAUUUGCGAACUAUUGGGUUGUAUUUGUAUUCUAUAGGGCUGCUAAAGUCCGUACUUGUAGUAUUUCAGUUUCCAGUAUCCUAUUUGUGCUUUUGUGUUCUGUUCA